UGCCUUAUGGUGGGGGACAACAGUUGGAAACGACUGCUAAUACCGCAUGAUGUCUACGGACCAAAGUGGGGGACCUUCGGGCCUCACGCCAUAAGAUUAGCCCAAGUGGGAUUAGCUAGUUGGUGAGGUAAUGGCUCACCAAGGCGACGAUCCCUAGCUGGUUUGAGAGGAUGAUCAGCCACACUGGGACUGAGACACGGCCCAGACUCCUACGGGAGGCAGCAGUGGGGAAUAUUGCACAAUGGGCGCAAGCCUGAUGCAGCCAUGCCGCGUGUGUGAAGAAGGCCUUCGGGUUGUAAAGCACUUUCAGUAAGGAGGAAAGGUUAAGUGUUAAUAGCACUUAGCUGUGACGUUACUUACAGAAGAAGCACCGGCUAACUCCGUGCCAGCAGCCGCGGUAAUACGGAGGGUGCGAGCGUUAAUCGGAAUUACUGGGCGUAAAGCGUACGCAGGCGGUUUGUUAAGCGAGAUGUGAAAGCCCCGGGCUCAACCUGGGAACUGCAUUUCGAACUGGCAAACUAGAGUGUGAUAGAGGGUGGUAGAAUUUCAGGUGUAGCGGUGAAAUGCGUAGAGAUCUGAAGGAAUACCGAUGGCGAAGGCAGCCACCUGGUCAACACUGACGCUCA
This 626-nucleotide ribosomal RNA is filed under the name Pseudoalteromonas lipolytica. RNAcentral's name for it is "bacterial SSU rRNA". It matches the Rfam family "Bacterial small subunit ribosomal RNA", at positions 127 to 749 of the family's 1533-position model. Lineage: Bacteria; Pseudomonadati; Pseudomonadota; Gammaproteobacteria; Alteromonadales; Pseudoalteromonadaceae. The record is from RNAcentral.